AACUUUUGGCAAUGGAUCUCUUGGUUCCGGCAUCGAUGAAGAACGCAGCGAAAUGCGAUAAGUAGUGUGAAUUGCAGAAUUCAGCGAACCAUCGAAUCUUUGAACGCACAUUGCGCCCGCCGGUAAUCCGGCGGGCAUGCCUGUUCGAGCGUCGUUUCACCGCCCAGGCCAGGCCUGGUGUUGGGGCUCCUAGGGCGACCUAGGCCCCGGACCUCAAGUGGCGGCGCGCCCAGCUCCGAGCGAAGUAGUAAAAUCCCCCGCUCAGGACGCCCCGGGCGCGGCUGGCCGUUAAACAACUCAAUUUAACAGGUCGACCUCGGAUCAGGCAGGAAUACCCGCUGAACUUAAGCAUAUCAAUAAGCGGAGGCU
Molecule: unclassified non-coding RNA, 369 nt
Filed under: uncultured Sordariomycetes
Lineage: Eukaryota; Fungi; Ascomycota; Sordariomycetes
Description: sequence contains ITS2
Rfam family: 5.8S ribosomal RNA (bases 1-154)
Source: RNAcentral